Molecule: ribosomal RNA, 468 nt
Filed under: uncultured bacterium
Lineage: Bacteria
Description: partial 16S ribosomal RNA
Rfam family: Bacterial small subunit ribosomal RNA
Source: RNAcentral
GACGAACGCUGGCGGCGUGCUUAACACAUGCAAGUCGAACGGAAAGGCCCUGCGUUUGUGGGGUGCUCGAGUGGCGAACGGGUGAGUAACACGUGAGUAACCUGCCCUUGACUUUGGGAUAACUUCAGGAAACUGGGGCGAAUACCGGAUAGGAGCUCCUGCUGCAUGGGGGGGGUGGUAAAGUUUCGGCGUUUGGGGAUGGACUCGCGGCUUAUCAUCUUGUUGGUGGGGUAGUGGCUUACCAAGGCUUUGACGGGUAGCCGGCCUGAGAGGGUGACCGGCCACAUUGGGACUGAGAUACGGGCCAGACUCCUACGGGAGGCAGCAGUGGGGAAUAUUGCACAAUGGGCGGCAGCCUGAUGCAGCAACGCCGCGUGCGGGAUGACGGCCUUCGGGUUGUAACCCGCUUUCGCCUGUGACGAAGAGUGAGUGACGGUAAUGGGUAAAGAAGCACCGGCUAACUACGUG